This is a non-coding RNA of Arachis ipaensis, 219 nucleotides long. The record is from RefSeq and is a predicted model, not a curated record. NCBI's taxonomy places the organism in Eukaryota, Viridiplantae, Streptophyta, Magnoliopsida, Fabales, Fabaceae.
UCUGAUUCGAAUAUGAUGGUUGUGAGGGAACAGACACCGUCCGAAGCGCUUGCAAUAGUCCCGAUUCAGGUUUUUGUGCCGGCAUCCCAAACAACCACUGAGACAGAUUUUGAACCAACCCCUAUGCUACAGAUUGAAGGGACUACAGAAAGCACUCCUGAAACCCCCAAACAACUUCAAGAGACCACACCCACGGUUCCCCCAUCUCCAACUAAAAUG